Molecule: ribosomal RNA, 455 nt
Filed under: uncultured bacterium
Lineage: Bacteria
Description: bacterial SSU rRNA
Rfam family: Bacterial small subunit ribosomal RNA
Source: RNAcentral
AGAGUUUGAUCCUGGCUCAGAACGAACGCUGGCGGCAGGCCUCAAACAUGCAAGUCUAGGGGGUGUAGCAAUACAUCACCGGCGGACGGGUGCGUAACACGUGGGAAUAUACCUUUUGGUUCGGAACAACGCAGGGAAACUUGCGCUAAUACCGAAUGUGCCCUUACGGGGAAAGAUUUAUCGCCAAAGGAUUAGCCCGCGUAGGAUUAGCUAGUUGGUGAGGUAAUGGCUCACCAAGGCUCCGAUCCUUAGCUGUUCUGAGAGGAAGAUCAGCCACACUGGGACUGAGACACGGCCCAGACUCCUACGGGAGGCAGCAGUUGGGAAUCUUGGACAAUGGGGGAAACCCUGAUCCAGCCAUGCCGCGUGAGUGAUGAAGGCCUUCGGGUUGUAAAACUCUUUCGACGGGGACGAUAAUGACGGUACCCGUAGAAGAAGCUCCGGCUAACUUCGUG